AGCGAACGCUGGCGGCAGGCUUAACACAUGCAAGUCGAGCGGGCAUCUUCGGAUGUCAGCGGCAGACGGGUGAGUAACACGGGGGAACGUACCCUUCGGUUCGGAACAACUCUGGGAAACUGGAGCUAAUACCGGAUACGCCCUUAUGGGGAAAGGUUUACUGCCGAAGGAUCGGGCCGCGUCUGAUUUGCUAGGUGGUGGGGUAACGGCCUACCAAGGCGACGAUCAGUAGCUGGUCUGAGAGGAUGAUCAGCGACACUGGGACUGAGACACGGCCCAGACGCGUACGGGAGGCAGCAGUGGGGAAUAUAGGACAAUGGGCGCAAGCCUGAACCACCCAUGCCGGGAGAGUGAAGAAGGCCUUAGGGUCGGAAAGCGCUUUUGUCCGGGACGAUAAUGACGGUACCGGAAGAAUAAGCCCCGGCUAACUUCGUG
This 435-nucleotide ribosomal RNA is filed under the name uncultured bacterium. RNAcentral describes it as "partial 16S ribosomal RNA". It matches the Rfam family "Bacterial small subunit ribosomal RNA", at positions 29 to 507 of the family's 1533-position model. The record is from RNAcentral.